Molecule: ribosomal RNA, 427 nt
Filed under: uncultured bacterium
Lineage: Bacteria
Description: bacterial SSU rRNA
Rfam family: Bacterial small subunit ribosomal RNA
Source: RNAcentral
UGGGGAAUUUUGGACAAUGGGCGCAAGCCUGAUCCAGCCAUGCCGCGUGAGUGAAGAAGGCCUUCGGGUUGUAAAGCUCUUUCGGACGGGAAGAAAUGGCGGGCUCUAACAUAGCCUGUCGAUGACGGUACCGUAAGAAUAAGCACCGGCUAACUUCGUGCCAGCAGCCGCGGUAAUACGAAGGGUGCAAGCGUUACUCGGAAUUACUGGGCGUAAAGCGUGCGUAGGUGGUUGUUUAAGUCUGAUGUGAAAGCCCUGGGCUCAACCUGGGAAUGGCAUUGGAAACUGGGCAGCUAGAGUGCGGUAGAGGGUAGUGGAAUUCCCGGUGUAGCAGUGAAAUGCGUAGAGAUCGGGAGGAACAUCUGUGGCGAAGGCGACUGCCUGGACCAGCACUGACACUGAGGCACGAAAGCGUGGGGAGCAAACA